UGCGCGCGGUCUCAUUGAAAACAACAACGGUGGUCAAAUUGUGUUUCUUAUUUUGCACUUCCGUGCUUGUUCCUGCUGCUCACAUUGGUGUAUGGCAAUUUCUUUUGUGCUCUUCUCUCCGCUUCUUUCACUCUACUUCGUCUUUGCCUUCCUUAUGCAAUACCGUUAGCAAAGCAGGGAAAGAGGUUGCUUCAGGGAAAGGAAGUAACAAACUAUAUAGCCAAGAGCCAGAAGCCAACGAAAAACACUUGCUUCAGCUUUGAGGAUGCUAGCGCAUCCUAUCCUCGCCUCUGAGGAUGACGAGGAGUAUGUAAUUCGCGUUAUCUUCUGCCUGCCGGCCCUCCUCGAUGCAUACUUCGACGCGGUCGAGACGAUUUGUGCGGAGCCGUCCCCGCCGCCGGAGUCCAAAACUCGUGCAGAUAUUCUGCACCUCACGAUUCAGCAGCGCCUGCUUAUUCUAGGGCGCGUGCCUCCCAGCACAUUUCGACAUUUCGACGAAGUCUCCGGCACGGAGACGGAGGACAAGGAGCUUCCUAAACUCAUUGAUCAGCUGCGCCAUGUCUUCCUCGAGAACAAGGUGGACAUUGGCCCACAAGCACUCUUGUGGCGCAAGCGGUCCCUGUCGCUGGCGAGGGAGUGCUCCGAUCAUAUGAAUCGCUGCCGCGUUCGCUUUUCCUUGGGUAGGAAGGUGCGGCGCGAGCUGGUCGCGUUCGGUUCGGCGCCGUAUGCAUUCAGCAUGAUUUCCUUCGGUCUCAUAGUCAUCUUUUCUUGCAGUGCUCUAGUCAUCAUACCAGCCUUGCAGGCUCCACUGGCGAGUGGGCUGGCCGUCGGCUGUGUCGCUUGCGUGCUUCUUGUCCUCUCUGCAUCCCUCGUCUCCUUCAACUUCUUUACUGCGGUGCGCUCCUUGCACAUAUUGUACUCGCAGCUAUUCCACGAGUACUUGAUCGCCGGCGGGUCACCGUCUGACAUCCUGCUAAAUUCUUUGCAAGAGCCGUCCUUCAAACCACGGGGAAAGGACGGGCCGCGGGACAGUGGGACGAAGCGGCUAGAGAUGGGUCGUGAGACCAAGACAGGCUACUACACCAUCCCCUACGGCGGUGAGAACAGAAUUGGGUACAUCGAGGGCAAGCAGCUGAAUGCACAGGUGGUGAUGAUUGCCUUCGAUAGCAACUACCAGAUUACAUGGUGGAAUAACGCGGCGGAGGUGAUGACGGGGUUCUUGCAAGACGGGUGCAUCGGCAAGCCGCUGAACGAGCUUGUCCAGUGCUUCAACGACGAGGAUGUGUGCUCCCUUAUCAAGAAUACGCGUCGCGGAAAUCUACUUAAGAUCAAGCUCCGCUCCCUCACCGCAGCCCCAACAACGCUCAGCACCGUGGUGGCACCAAUUCUGAACUGCGACAGCAAGCCCAUCGGUAAUGUGCUGAUCUGCGCGAACUCGCUCGAUAACUUAAGAGAGUACCGCAUUUAUAUGCACAACUAUCAAGUGAGCGAGACAAUCGGUGCCUUGUCCUUCUUAUCGGAGCGCUCCUCUCUGUCGCACGAAGAUUCCACUCUCGUCAACUCCCUGAGCCGCUUUGUCAAGAACGGUCUGGCAAACCACGUGGAAACCCUCGCGCGGGAGAUGGAGUCUGACUGGGACUGGACAAGCGUGGAGCAGCUGCUGGGUCGCGCCUUGGGUCAGCGGAUCGGGCUGCAUGAGGUGAUUGUGGACCCGCUGUUUCCGCCCACGCUAUGCGUCAACCCAGACGUUGCCAAGACAUUUGGGACCGUCGUCGGGCUAGCCAAUGGCCGCUGCACGGUGACUCUACAGAUGCUGAACUUGACAGGCAACGUCUUUUCGCUGGCCGUGACCGUGCUGCUGGGCCCCAAGUGCCGGCCGUGGGAUCAGGCGCAGCUGGAGCAACAGCUGGAGCAGCUGUUGCGCAGCACGGCAGGAAGCGUGUACCUUCUCGAGGAGCGCGUGGUGCUGCAUUUUCCAUGUCAAGUGGCACCGAUCUUGGACGACGGCGACGAGGGCGAUGCCAACCCUAACUCCGACCAGGCGCUGCAGAUCACGCAGGCCAGGGCCAUCAUCAACUGCACGGUGAACGUGGUGACCGCCAUCACGAACAUGGUGGAUCAACACAACUUGUCCCUUAUCUUGCUCAAGACAAUGUUUGUCUCUCUCGCCAGCGUGCGCGAGCGCAGCGACCUCGAGAAACGCUUGUCUGCCCGCCCGUGUGAUGUAGAUGUGAUUAUUUGCGACAGCGAGUGGCUCAGCUCGUCCCGUGAUCUUCUUAUGAACAACGACCACGGGGCCAUGGUGAUUCCGCUGAUCGAUGCCCAGAUGCCAGUUCCAGCCGAUGUGCAGCACGCGAUCUGCAUGCCGCUUGUGCGACGGGACGUGCAGCAGCUCAUCUUGGAGGUUGGCAAGGCGGUGUCCAUGAAGAAGAACGCCAUCUCCGCCCGCGAAGAGCGUGAGCGAAUUCUCACGCUGCGGCAGGACUCACCAUGGACGCGCGGCAAGCUGCUCGGGCGCGGGUCGUACGGUGCUGUGUACGAGGCGACUAGCGAUCUCACCGGCGGCAAGAUGGCGGUGAAGAUGUUCUACUUCUCGCAGAACGUCGAGUCGUCGAUUAGCACGUUGCUGAACGAGGUCUCCAUCAUGUGCAGUCUGAACCACCCCAACAUUGUGCACUACUUCCACUGCGAGCGCAAGGACAACAACGUAAGCUUGUUCAUGGAGCUGUGCGAGGCCUCUCUAACAGACAUCAUUGUAGGACGGCGGCAAAAGCCGGCCCAUCUGUCCGUCGUGCAGAUCAUUCGGCAAGUCCUGACCGCCAUUGCUUACUUGCACAGUCGAGGCAUCGCUCAUCGAGAUGUCAAACCCCAGAACAUUCUUCUAAAGGGUGAGACGGUGAAGUUGACCGAUUUUGGUACUGCAAUUCAGGGCAAUGCGGGCAAAGAGGUGCGAGGCACAUUCCGGUACAUGGCCCCGGAGGUCUACAAGGGUGACCCCCACUCACUGAGCUGCGACAUAUGGUCUAUCGGCUGCCUUGUGUGCGAGCUGUUUGCGUGCCCGACCCCCUUCAUGGAGAACUCAUCGCUGCUGGGUGAGAUGACAUCCACGGUGGACUACUUGACGAGGGUGCCGCAAAACCCGGUCUUGAUCGAUUUUUUGGAGAAGUGCUUCCAACUUGACCCUGAGCGGCGCUGGGGAGCUGGCGAUCUUCUCAUGCAUCCUCUGCUUUCCGGCAAUGCCGCAGCAUCAUCUCUGGUGAAGCUGGAGACAAUUUUUGACGCGAAACAUAGCAAUCCUCUCGACCCGUCAAGCCAAUCCGUUUUUUCCUUACGAUCUGCGUAAGAGAGCUAGCGGAGCAACAGAGGGGCAGGAAGACCAGGCGCCGCGUGCUCAAUGACCGCCUCUCUAGCACGCGUAUGCACUGUCUCCGCAGUCGAAAGCACAGCAGCUGAUGGGGGUGUUCUUUCAUUAUUCGUGGUUUUCCCUCUUUUUUGUCAUUGUUGUCUGCCAGACACAAAAGCGCCCUCGAUGAGGAUGGAAUGGAUCAGAUGUCGGUGAUGGUGGUACGCGAGCACCUGCACAAGAGUUCUAUUUCUCCUUUUUUUUUGUUUGCGUGCGGAGAUGCUCAUACUGCGCCGAGGACAGGAGAGGGAAAAGGUGAGGGGGGGGGCUUGUCGGGACAAGGUUCUGUGAGAGCGCCAGGAAAGGAAGGCGGUGCGCAGUGUUCCUCUUCCUUGUCCCCUGUGUAUAGGUGUUGGUGUGCAUAUGUCAGUAGGUUUUUGUUCGUCUUUGCUCUCCCCAUUUCUACCUCCUCCUUUCGCCUUCGUUCUCCUUUUCGCUGUGUGUGUGUGUGUGUGUGUGUUUGUGUCCAGGCCCUUCUAGCGCCGAUCAAGC
This 3895-nucleotide unclassified non-coding RNA is filed under the name Leishmania donovani. RNAcentral describes it as "gene:LdHU3.26.2140(CDS-product:protein_kinase_put ative)". Lineage: Eukaryota; Euglenozoa; Kinetoplastea; Trypanosomatida; Trypanosomatidae. The record is from RNAcentral.